ACUCAAAGACAAGGCAUGGGAGACCAAAAGGAAACCAAUACUGCUGUGGCAGGGAAAAGCCAGAUGGGAUUCUUGAGAAAAUCUCAGGAAUUUUCAACCAUAUUUUGCAUUGAUGAGCUAAUGGACUGUCUUGAAACAAAUGGACCAGAAUGAAAAUGUGCGACUAACUGGACCUUCACCUUUAAGUAUUUGACUGCUUAUUAAAGGAAACUCUGGCAGUACAAUACCCAGUGGGUUCUGUUUGAAGGCCUCCCUGAAGAAAAGCAAACAGGAGACUGCUGUCUUUGG
Catharus ustulatus (Swainson's thrush) is the source of this 288-nucleotide long non-coding RNA. RefSeq lists it as uncharacterized. The transcript has 3 exons. NCBI's taxonomy places the organism in Eukaryota, Metazoa, Chordata, Aves, Passeriformes, Turdidae. The record is from RefSeq and is a predicted model, not a curated record.